This is a long non-coding RNA of Tripterygium wilfordii, 1596 nucleotides long. RefSeq lists it as uncharacterized. The transcript is spliced from 2 exons. The record is from RefSeq and is a predicted model, not a curated record. Lineage: Eukaryota; Viridiplantae; Streptophyta; Magnoliopsida; Celastrales; Celastraceae.
ACCAAUCAAUACACUAGGGUUUUGAGGCGGUGUAACUGCUGCAAAUACUAUAGGGCAGUACUAUAUAUAUAUACAGCUAGGCAUCAGCCGGAUCCUCAUCAGCCAAUUACACCACAAAAACAAUGAAGCUUAAGAAAGACCCAAUUAGUCCGCCAACAAAUUCCCCACCCCCCCUAGCCUAUAUAACUGUCAAUUUCUCCCACUGUUACGAUCCAAGUGAGUCUCCUUCCUUCUCUCUUUAUCCAUUCACAUCUCUUCUGCACUUGUUCCUCUUCAUUUCUGCACUUGUUCCUCUUCAUUUGCCUCUCUCAAUAACGCAAGAUCAACUGUUUUAUUUUCUUGUUUCUUUUAUUUUUUUGCUGACAUGAGUAUCUUGGUCUCUCUAUUCCUUCCUCUCCUCUUUCUUUCGCACUAUCAGAUUGUAUUCUCUCCAUAUACAAUUUGAUCGAGUAUUCCGGCCGUUUGUUAAACAACUUUGAUGUACAUGGAUCGAUCUUCUUUUCUUCUCAAUUUUUUUUAGCUAGGGUUAAAAAGAGAGUUUUGUUUGUGUGAUACACCUACACCUACUUGUGUGGUGUAGUUAAAUUGGAUUCUUUGACAAAAUCACUUUCUGUUCUGACCACGUCUAUUUAUGCUCCUGGCCUUGCCUUUGAUUUGUACGAAUGAUGCCCUCUUUCUUUCCUUGUUCAUAUAUUAUUCUAUCCGAUCGAGAAAUUAGAUCAUGGAAAGAUCAAAGAUGUCUUCUUUUCUUAAGUUUAAAGAUAACAAUCCUCGGAUCGAUUGAGAGAGCACAAGAUAUGGAUAUGAAAAAAGCCAAUUAAGUUGUUGGAGAAGAAGAUUUGAUUCAUAGAUUAAUCAAAUAAAGUCGUUGUUUGCGGAAGUAGCAUCAUCAAGAUUCACAUGCAAAUUCCAAUUAAGGCCAAGGCAGGGUAGCUCAAUCUCUCUCUGCCUGCCUGCCAAAGUUGGUUGAAAGUGAGAAUCUUGAUGAUGCUGCAUCGGCAAUCAAAUGGCUACUUUCUUGCUUUUUGUUUGUCUCAGGUCAGGUGCACAAGAGCCAAACAGUGGUAAUUAUAUUGGAUAUUUCUGGAGUUGCUCAAGUGGGUGGAUAUUUCUGGAGUUGCUCAAGUGGGAGCAGGAAAGGUGAGAAGGAAACAAAUGAUUCAGAUUUUGGAUUAUUGUUACUCUUAUUAUAUGGUUAAAAUUGCUGAAUGUUGGAGUGGCGAGUUUGAAUCGAUCAUUGUUGAGACUAUAUAUGGAUGUGCUUUGGAGCUUGCAAAUUGUAGUGAAUUUGGUUUUAGGAUAUUUCUGUUGAAACAGACUCUUCUAUUGUGUCUGUGUUGACGUCUGAGACCUACUAGCUUUUGGACAUAUCACGUAUGCCAUUAAGAAUGUUGCUAUUUCUUUGGUUAUGUUACUUUUAAUUAGCCAUGAACCCUAUGAGUGCAACAAAGUUGCUCACAUUCUUGGUAGGAAUUCCAAAAUUUUGGGAGGUUUUCGCAUUUGGUGGGAAGAUUUUCCUUCUUUUGUUAAUUAACUCUGUUAUUGUUGCGGAUUGUGUAAUUUAUUUGAAGCAAUAUAAUGAAAUUCUUCCCAUUU